This is a small nucleolar RNA of Psammomys obesus (fat sand rat), 141 nucleotides long. RefSeq annotates it as small nucleolar RNA SNORA48. The record is from RefSeq and is a predicted model, not a curated record. NCBI's taxonomy places the organism in Eukaryota, Metazoa, Chordata, Mammalia, Rodentia, Muridae. The transcript has a single exon.
AACCCCUGGCAAUGGGCAGAGACACCUUGGUGGUGGUGGUGUUCUUAUACCAGUCAGGAGCAGAGCAGAAGGCAGUCCUUUGUCAUUCUAGCCUGAUGCCUGGCUUGGUGGCCAGAGCUAUUUCACGCCUAGGACUCACAA